Molecule: non-coding RNA, 369 nt
Organism: Pelobates cultripes (western spadefoot toad)
Lineage: Eukaryota; Metazoa; Chordata; Amphibia; Anura; Pelobatidae
Source: the annotation of a GenBank genome assembly
CUCUUUCUAGAACAUAUUUCUGUUUCCAAACUACGAGCAUUUAAUCCAACACGUGUGCAGAAUUCCAGAAUUGCUGUUUACGCCUUGACUCAAUUCAGGAAGAUUUACAUUUGAAUCUUUUCCUUCAUUCCAAUAAAACUAUUGACAACCCACUGAGAACUAUUUUUCAACAACAAGCCAUGCAGCGAGCCAUUUAAUUGUUCUACUCUGUGGUUUCCCUUUAGAAGCAUGUCAUGUUAGACACAAUGUAUAAAUAUUGCUAAUUCUAAGAUGAAGAUUUACCCUUUAUCAGUAGAAUUCUGACAAUAGACUUGCUAUGAUACAGUUUUACUGUCCAACUAUAAAUUUCACUUUAAUUAUUAAUUUAAG